GGAGGUAUGGCAGAGUGGCUAUGCAUCUGGCUUUUAACCAGCAUUAAGUGGGUUCGAUUCCUACUGCCUCCA
This 72-nucleotide transfer RNA is filed under the name Candidatus Obscuribacterales bacterium. RNAcentral describes it as "tRNA-Lys". It matches the Rfam family "tRNA". From Rfam's summary of the family: Transfer RNA (tRNA) molecules are approximately 80 nucleotides in length. Their secondary structure includes four short double-helical elements and three loops (D, anti-codon, and T loops). The record is from RNAcentral. Lineage: Bacteria; Bacillati; Candidatus Melainabacteria; Candidatus Obscuribacterales.